RNAcentral lists this RNase P RNA (363 nucleotides) under Gammaproteobacteria bacterium. Its description in RNAcentral is "RNase P RNA component class A". It matches the Rfam family "Bacterial RNase P class A". Rfam says of the family: Ribonuclease P (RNase P) is a ubiquitous endoribonuclease, found in archaea, bacteria and eukarya as well as chloroplasts and mitochondria. Its best characterised activity is the generation of mature 5'-ends of tRNAs by cleaving the 5'-leader elements of precursor-tRNAs. The record is from RNAcentral. Lineage: Bacteria; Pseudomonadati; Pseudomonadota; Gammaproteobacteria.
GGAGCCGGCCAGACAGCCGCCGUCUUCGGCAUUCGGAGGCGGAGGAAAGUCCGGGCUCCACAGGGCAGGGUGCCAGGUAACUCCUGGGGGGCGCGAGCCCACGGAAAGUGCCACAGAGACCAGACCGCCUAUCCCCGGCGCCGCGCGCGGCGGGGCGGCAAGGGUGAAACGGUGGUGUAAGAGACCACCGCGUCCGGUGGCAACACCGGCGGCACGGCAAACCCCACCCGGAGCAAGACCAAAUAGGGGGACCAGGGUGCGGCCCGCACCGUCCCCGGGUAGGUCGCUCGAGGCGCACGGCGACGUGCGUCCCAGAUGAAUGGCUGUCCUCGACAGAACCCGGCUUACCGGCCGGCUCCUUCC